UGUUCCGUUGCAACUGCGGCUCCAAAAGUCGUUCGAGUCGAAGCCCGGGAGGAAGUUGAAAUAUAUUUGUAUAAUUAGAAUUGAAGUCCAUUUCAUAAAUUUCUAUAUUGUCAGUUUGUUGAAUUUAUCAGCGGAUGUCUACGACAAUCCAAAAUUUUGAAUGAAGAAAUUUUACCAUUAAAAUGUCGAAAGCGGAUUUUAUUCUCAGUCGACCAAAAGAGGACAUUUCUGUGUAAUAACUGACUAAUUGUUUAAAAAAAGUGGAAGGACGUGUGUAAUAGUGUAUUUUAUGGAAGAAGAAAAAUGAAACUGCCAUUAAAAAUGACACGAGAAUACACCGAAAAAGGAAACAUAUUUCGUGCGAAUGAAAGGAAAAAGAAAAUCGAAUGAAGAUAUUUUAAAAUUAUUUUUGAACUAUUUUAUUUUACAAAGUUGCAUAUAAAUUGUUUGGAGGAAAAAUAUGUAAAUUACAUUAAUUUGUGAUAGUGAUAUUUGUGAACGCUGAUCUCAGUAAUUAGUAUAUAUCAAUGGUUCCGAAUUAGUGGUACGCGUACCACUGAGGGUAGGCGAAACUGCAUGAAGGGGUACGCCUGGCAAUCUAAAAUCGGUCGAUUUAGAAUUUAAAUACAUGAGU
Molecule: long non-coding RNA, 634 nt
Organism: Centruroides sculpturatus (bark scorpion)
Lineage: Eukaryota; Metazoa; Arthropoda; Arachnida; Scorpiones; Buthidae
Exons: 3
Source: RefSeq, a predicted model, not a curated record